AAAACACUGACGAACGCUGGCGGCGUGCUUAACACAUGCAAGUCGAGCGCCCCGCAAGGGGAGCGGCAGACGGGUGAGUAACGCGUGGGAAUCUACCUUUUGCUACGGAAUAACUCAGGGAAACUUGUGCUAAUACCGUAUGUGCCCUUCGGGGGAAAGAUUUAUCGGCAAAGGAUGAGCCCGCGUUGGAUUAGCUAGUUGGUGAGGUAAAGGCUCACCAAGGCGACGAUCCAUAGCUGGUCUGAGAGGAUGAUCAGCCACACUGGGACUGAGACACGGCCCAG
RNAcentral lists this ribosomal RNA (284 nucleotides) under uncultured bacterium. RNAcentral's name for it is "partial 16S ribosomal RNA". It matches the Rfam family "Bacterial small subunit ribosomal RNA", at positions 28 to 334 of the family's 1533-position model. The record is from RNAcentral.